CACAAGUCCGAAAAUGGAUGAAAAAGCCAGAAGACGACCGACAGACCGAACUGUACCUAAGCAGAGAAUCGAACUCAGACCGGCAUCAUACAGAGCUUGCUCGAUGAUGAGCUCUCUCUGCUUCGGCACCGACACAUCCUUCAGUCGGUGAAAGUCCUCUCGGUCUCCUACCUCCACCCGACUGUUUUCGUUCGGCUGAGUUCGAGGGUCGCCCC
This 215-nucleotide long non-coding RNA is filed under the name Elaeis guineensis (African oil palm). RNAcentral describes it as "long non-coding RNA (EGUI_LNC011065)". Lineage: Eukaryota; Viridiplantae; Streptophyta; Magnoliopsida; Arecales; Arecaceae. The record is from RNAcentral.